This 188-nucleotide unclassified non-coding RNA is filed under the name uncultured Helvella. RNAcentral's name for it is "partial internal transcribed spacer 2". Lineage: Eukaryota; Fungi; Ascomycota; Pezizomycetes; Pezizales; Helvellaceae. The record is from RNAcentral.
GGACGAAUCCUCGCGCGAGUGAACGCGCGGUCAUGGCUGCGGUGGCGUGCCCGAAGCGGCGGCCACCGCGCCGGAAUCCAUGGGCGGACGCCUGCCGCGUGGCCGAGCGUGAUAUGACGCAUUGGCGCUCGCGCGCGGCGAGGCUGCCAGCCCUGGCCCCUCCGUCGGGCGGGGUAGAUCAAGACAUG